This 150-nucleotide small RNA is filed under the name Gopherus agassizii (Agassiz's desert tortoise). RNAcentral's name for it is "TUC338 (ENSGAGG00000020976.1)". The record is from RNAcentral. Lineage: Eukaryota; Metazoa; Chordata; Testudines; Testudinidae.
UUGACAGCCCUGGAGACUGAUGUCCUAAUUAUCCUCAGAACAGGUGCACAUGGGCAAUGUCCUGCCAAUGUAACUCAGCCAAGAGGUGGAGAGCCCAGUUCCCAGAUUAGAUAGUAGUUCAGUGCAAAGGCUUUGCCAACUGAAGUUAUU